UGGAGUUUUUUAGCUCAAGUUAUGCUAUUUUUACUAAGACUGAUCAGAUUGGUCAAAAUCCAAAAAUUCUGGGCACAUUAGGUUCUUGCAGAUUUAGAGAGCUAAUUUUGGUUAGCAAUUUAACUAGGUUAUGAUCAGAAUUUGUGUUUUUAUUCCUCAUAAAAAUUGUUCUACUAUGUAUAAGCUUUCCAAUGGUAUAAAAAUCAGGUCAUUUGGACA
This 219-nucleotide unclassified non-coding RNA is filed under the name Hevea brasiliensis (rubber tree). The record is from RNAcentral. Lineage: Eukaryota; Viridiplantae; Streptophyta; Magnoliopsida; Malpighiales; Euphorbiaceae.